GAGCGUCACUUCCGCCGUGUCACGAUGGAGGAGAUCGGAGUGCUGUGCGAGAAGGCCCAGGAGGACCUCCCGGCGCUGCCCCGCCCCCACCCGGCGCUGCCCUUCCUGGGCCCCGAAGCCGAAGACCUCGAGGACCUCUACAGCCGAUACAAGAAGCUGCAGCAGGAGCUGGAGUUCCUGGAGGUGCAGGAGGACCGACCCCACACCUCACCCCAUAGCUCACCCCAUAGCUGACCCUAUAUCUGACCCCAUAGAAGCUGCAGCAGGAGCUGGAGUUCCUGGAGGUGCAGGAGGAGUACAUAAAGGACGAGCAGAAGAACCUCAAGAAGGAAUUCCUGCACGCCCAGGAGGAGGUGAAGCGCAUCCAAAGCAUCCCAUUGGUCAUCGGGCAGUUCCUCGAGGCCGUGGAUCAGAACACCGCCAUUGUGGGGUCCACCACCGG
This 442-nucleotide long non-coding RNA is filed under the name Gallus gallus (chicken). The record is from RNAcentral. Lineage: Eukaryota; Metazoa; Chordata; Aves; Galliformes; Phasianidae.